GGAGGGCGCGAGCGUUAAUCGGAAUUACUGGGCGUAAAGCGCACGUAGGCGGCUUGGCAUGUCGGGUGUGAAAUCCCCGGGCUCAACCUGGGAACUGCAUCCGAAACUGCCUUGCUAGAGUAUGGGAGAGGGAAGCGGAAUUUCCGGUGUAGCAGUGAAAUGCGUAGAUAUCGGAAGGAACAUCAGUGGCGAAGGCGGCUUCCUGGACCAAUACUGACGCUCAGGUGCGAAAGCGUGGGGAGCAAACAGGAUUAGAUACCCUGGUAGUCCACGCCCUAAACGAUGAGAACUAGAUGUCGGGAGGGUUUGCCUUCCGGUGUCGCAGCUAACGCGUUAAGUUCUCCGCCUGGGAAGUACGGCCGCAAGGUUG
This 370-nucleotide ribosomal RNA is filed under the name uncultured bacterium. Its description in RNAcentral is "bacterial SSU rRNA". It matches the Rfam family "Bacterial small subunit ribosomal RNA", at positions 527 to 896 of the family's 1533-position model. The record is from RNAcentral.